RNAcentral lists this ribosomal RNA (1411 nucleotides) under Staphylococcus aureus. RNAcentral describes it as "bacterial SSU rRNA". It matches the Rfam family "Bacterial small subunit ribosomal RNA". Lineage: Bacteria; Bacillati; Bacillota; Bacilli; Caryophanales; Staphylococcaceae. The record is from RNAcentral.
GUGCCUAAUACAUGCAAGUCGAGCGAACGGACGAGAAGCUUGCUUCUCUGAUGUUAGCGGCGGACGGGUGAGUAACACGUGGAUAACCUACCUAUAAGACUGGGAUAACUUCGGGAAACCGGAGCUAAUACCGGAUAAUAUUUUGAACCGCAUGGUUCAAAAGUGAAAGACGGUCUUGCUGUCACUUAUAGAUGGAUCCGCGCUGCAUUAGCUAGUUGGUAAGGUAACGGCUUACCAAGGCAACGAUGCAUAGCCGACCUGAGAGGGUGAUCGGCCACACUGGAACUGAGACACGGUCCAGACUCCUACGGGAGGCAGCAGUAGGGAAUCUUCCGCAAUGGGCGAAAGCCUGACGGAGCAACGCCGCGUGAGUGAUGAAGGUCUUCGGAUCGUAAAACUCUGUUAUUAGGGAAGAACAUAUGUGUAAGUAACUGUGCACAUCUUGACGGUACCUAAUCAGAAAGCCACGGCUAACUACGUGCCAGCAGCCGCGGUAAUACGUAGGUGGCAAGCGUUAUCCGGAAUUAUUGGGCGUAAAGCGCGCGUAGGCGGUUUUUUAAGUCUGAUGUGAAAGCCCACGGCUCAACCGUGGAGGGUCAUUGGAAACUGGAAAACUUGAGUGCAGAAGAGGAAAGUGGAAUUCCAUGUGUAGCGGUGAAAUGCGCAGAGAUAUGGAGGAACACCAGUGGCGAAGGCGACUUUCUGGUCUGUAACUGACGCUGAUGUGCGAAAGCGUGGGGAUCAAACAGGAUUAGAUACCCUGGUAGUCCACGCCGUAAACGAUGAGUGCUAAGUGUUAGGGGGUUUCCGCCCCUUAGUGCUGCAGCUAACGCAUUAAGCACUCCGCCUGGGGAGUACGACCGCAAGGUUGAAACUCAAAGGAAUUGACGGGGACCCGCACAAGCGGUGGAGCAUGUGGUUUAAUUCGAAGCAACGCGAAGAACCUUACCAAAUCUUGACAUCCUUUGACAACUCUAGAGAUAGAGCCUUCCCCUUCGGGGGACAAAGUGACAGGUGGUGCAUGGUUGUCGUCAGCUCGUGUCGUGAGAUGUUGGGUUAAGUCCCGCAACGAGCGCAACCCUUAAGCUUAGUUGCCAUCAUUAAGUUGGGCACUCUAAGUUGACUGCCGGUGACAAACCGGAGGAAGGUGGGGAUGACGUCAAAUCAUCAUGCCCCUUAUGAUUUGGGCUACACACGUGCUACAAUGGACAAUACAAAGGGCAGCGAAACCGCGAGGUCAAGCAAAUCCCAUAAAGUUGUUCUCAGUUCGGAUUGUAGUCUGCAACUCGACUACAUGAAGCUGGAAUCGCUAGUAAUCGUAGAUCAGCAUGCUACGGUGAAUACGUUCCCGGGUCUUGUACACACCGCCCGUCACACCACGAGAGUUUGUAACACCCGAAGCCGGUGGAGU